RNAcentral lists this transfer RNA (64 nucleotides) under Trirhabda virgata. RNAcentral's name for it is "tRNA-Trp". Lineage: Eukaryota; Metazoa; Arthropoda; Insecta; Coleoptera; Chrysomelidae. The record is from RNAcentral.
AAGGAUUUAAGUUAAGUUAAACUCUCAGCCUUCAAAGUUGGAAAUAGAUUUUAUCUAAGCCUUA